Molecule: long non-coding RNA, 590 nt
Organism: Daphnia carinata
Lineage: Eukaryota; Metazoa; Arthropoda; Branchiopoda; Diplostraca; Daphniidae
Exons: 2
Source: RefSeq, a predicted model, not a curated record
GUGAACUAAUGAAACAAAGUCAAACAAAACACAAUUAGUUAAGAACAAUGGUUGGAUUUCUGGCAAGGGAGGGAUAUUUACACAACAAUCACGACGGAAUACAAAGAGUCAACUGCGCUGGCCUGAACAACGAAUAGGACACGUUAUACAAGACGGGCCAUGAGAACACACACGUACGAGGUGCACUGCAGCGCCGGAAUGGGUCUCUCUGUACUUUUAACUCCGUUCAACUUUAAGGAAAGGUACAACGUGUGUACAUGCUGACGUGCUGGUGGGUCUAGCCCGGUACCAGGAUCUACCAACCGCGUGAGUCCCGCACGCGUCCCCCACAACGAUCCGCUUUGAACAAAGACACUUUUUUUUUUUUACCCUCUUCUUUCUUUUUUUUAAUAUUUCAACCCACUUUUAUACCUAGUUACCGAAUGUGAUGGGGUUCGGUUGUUCCCCACUGAACAGGGAUCGAGAAAGUUAGAACUGACUUCACAAUUCUGUCUUGUUUCUGUCAACUGUUUGAUGACUAGCAUUGGACGAGGAUCUUAACCACGUAAUCGUAUCUCCAAUAAAUAUGAACAUUACGCAGUAGCAGAUAA